GGGCGUAAGCGUACGCAGGCGGUUUGUUAAGCGAGAUGUGAAAGCCCCGGGCUCAACCUGGGAACUGCAUUUCGAACUGGCAAACUAGAGUGUGAUAGAGGGUGGUAGAAUUUCAGGUGUAGCGGUGAAAUGCGUAGAGAUCUGAAGGAAUACCGAUGGCGAAGGCAGCCACCUGGGUCAACACUGACGCUCAUGUACGAAAGCGUGGGGAGCAAACAGGAUUAGAUACCCUGGUAGUCCACGCCGUAAACGAUGUCUACUAGAAGCUCGGCUCUUCGGAGUUGUUUUUCAAAGCUAACGCAUUAAGUAGACCGCCUGGGGAGUACGGCCGCAAGGUUAAAACUCAAAUGAAUUGACGGGGGCCCGCACAAGCGGUGGAGCAUGUGGUUUAAUUCGAUGCAACGCGAAGAACCUUACCUACACUUGACAUACAGAGAACUUACCAGAGAUGGUUUGGUGCCUUCGGGAACUCUGAUACA
This 479-nucleotide ribosomal RNA is filed under the name Pseudoalteromonas sp. Its description in RNAcentral is "bacterial SSU rRNA". It matches the Rfam family "Bacterial small subunit ribosomal RNA", at positions 556 to 1036 of the family's 1533-position model. The record is from RNAcentral. Lineage: Bacteria; Pseudomonadati; Pseudomonadota; Gammaproteobacteria; Alteromonadales; Pseudoalteromonadaceae.